ACAAUACCAUGUUGUUUACGUCAGAGGUCGGUGUCUUAUGUCGAUCUCUAAUCCUCCCACCACCCCCCAUUGGGCAGACGUGACAGAUGAUGUGCGGCAGCUCAUCCGUCAGCGCCUUCAGGAUAAAUUUGACAUGGAUUUGAGUGUUCCGCAUAUCUCCCAUGCCGUCGACAACAUGAUUAAGUAGCGGUUCAAGGAUUACUGCGGUAAGUUGUUUCAGGCUCUCGCUGCACGCUUACCCACCGAUGCCCCACCACCUCCACCUUCAUCUUUGUGAUUUUUUGUAUUUUUGUUUAUGAUGUUAAACUUAUAUGUAUUUAUGCGUGAAUGAAUGUGACGUGGAUAAGAUUGUUUGUGUUUGGA
This is a long non-coding RNA of Magnolia sinica, 363 nucleotides long. RefSeq lists it as uncharacterized. The transcript has 2 exons. The record is from RefSeq and is a predicted model, not a curated record. Lineage: Eukaryota; Viridiplantae; Streptophyta; Magnoliopsida; Magnoliales; Magnoliaceae.